GCUAGAUUAACUCCUUGGCACAGCAAGCACCUUGAAGACGGGCAUGUAGUGGACAUGCCGCACCGUUAAAAAGUCCCGCCAAUAUUUAAAAACCCCGCGCUUCCAAAUUGCGCCUCUCAUGUUUGUUUUAUAUUCGCUCGAUAGAGAGCAGCACAGCUAACCACAACAUUAAACAAAAUUACGCUGUUUGUGUUGUUGGUUGUUGGUUUUAUCAUCUGAAGUCUUAUUAAAUUUAAUUUUUAUUGCGCAUCAAUAAAUAUUUUAUUCAAAAUUUUUCAACUGUGGGCAGCAAUACUUUUCCAAGUCCUCACGUGUCUGCAUGGUACAAGAUCAAACUUAUCCUUGAGCUUUAAAGAAAGAUUGCGGAUGUAUUUGUCAGAAGUAGUAUGAUUCUACCUCUUGUUUUUUGUGUCAUUU
Molecule: long non-coding RNA, 417 nt
Filed under: Bemisia tabaci
Lineage: Eukaryota; Metazoa; Arthropoda; Insecta; Hemiptera; Aleyrodidae
Description: lncRNA ENSSSA1NGG000591
Source: RNAcentral